Molecule: ribosomal RNA, 468 nt
Filed under: uncultured bacterium
Lineage: Bacteria
Description: partial 16S ribosomal RNA
Rfam family: Bacterial small subunit ribosomal RNA
Source: RNAcentral
GGCGAACGCUGGCGGUGUGCUUAACACAUGCAAGUCGAACGGAAAGGCCCUGCUUGUUUGGGGUUCUCGAGUGGCGAACGGGGGAGGGACACGUGAGUAACCUGCCCUUGACUUUGGGGUAGCUUCAGGAAGGGGGAGCUACUACCGUAUAGGAGAUGCUGUUGCAGGGUAGGGGUGGGAAAGUUGCGGCGGUUGGGGAUGGAUGCGCGGGUUAUGAGCUUGUUGGUGGGGUAGUGGCUUACCAACGCUGUGACGGGUACGUGGCAGGAGAGGGUGACCGGCCACAUUGCGACUGCGAUACGGACCAGACUCCUACGGUAGGCAGCAGUGGGGAAUCUGGCCCAAUGGGAGGACGUCUGAUGCAGCAACGUCGCGUGCGGGAUGACGGUCUGUGGGUUGUAAACCGCUUUAGCCUGUGACGCCGCGGGAGUGACGGUAAUCGAUAAAGAAGCACCGGCUAACUACGUG